Molecule: ribosomal RNA, 308 nt
Filed under: uncultured Sphingomonas sp.
Lineage: Bacteria; Pseudomonadati; Pseudomonadota; Alphaproteobacteria; Sphingomonadales; Sphingomonadaceae
Description: bacterial SSU rRNA
Rfam family: Bacterial small subunit ribosomal RNA
Source: RNAcentral
CUCAGAACGAACGCUGGCGGCAUGCCUAACACAUGCAAGUCGAACGAAGGCUUCGGCCUUAGUGGCGCACGGGUGCGUAACGCGUGGGAAUCUGCCCUUAGGUUCGGAAUAACAGCUGGAAACGGCUGCUAAUACCGGAUGAUAUCGCGAGAUCAAAGAUUUAUCGCCUGAGGAUGAGCCCGCGUUGGAUUAGGUAGUUGGUGGGGUAAAGGCCUACCAAGCCGACGAUCCAUAGCUGGUCUGAGAGGAUGAUCAGCCACACUGGGACUGAGACACGGCCCAGACUCCUACGGGAGGCAGCAAAAGGG